RNAcentral lists this ribosomal RNA (253 nucleotides) under uncultured bacterium. RNAcentral describes it as "partial 16S ribosomal RNA". It matches the Rfam family "Bacterial small subunit ribosomal RNA", at positions 524 to 776 of the family's 1533-position model. The record is from RNAcentral.
UACAGAGGGGGCUAGCGUUAUUCGGAAUUAUUUGGCGUAAAGGGCGCGUAGGCGGCCAUGCGUGUCUUCCGUGAAAUCCCUCGGCUUAACUGAGGACGUGCGGAAGAAACUGCAAGGCUCGAGUCCGGGAGAGGGGGGUGGAAUUCCCAGUGUAGCGGUGAAAUGCGCAGAUAUCAGGAGGAACACCGGUGGCGAAGGCGGGUCUCUGGGCAACAACUGACGCUGAGGAGCGAAAGCGUGGGGAGCGAACAGG